AAGAUGGAUUAUCACUUCAAUAGUCUCUGAUCGAUCCAGGUGCUUAAGUGACUUCCACCAGUUUACUGGUGUGACUUUCUUUACAACUUCAUCAGCAAACAUAUUUCUUGAAUGGUUCACUCUUAGCCCUGAAAUAUAUUGUAGUUGGUAUUAUGGAGGGAUGAUUCCCGGAUGCCCAUGUCAUAGCCAACUCCUCUUCUUCCGCAGUUAAGGAUUGACCCUGGUACCAGAUAUUGAAAAUACUGGCAAGAAAAUGAGCUGGAAAUAGUGCUUGAUCCAUUUGUUUUUUUAAUGCCUGUGAUUUAAUUCUGUCAUUGCAUAUUUCUCUUUUUAAGUUCUCACUCAGUUCCUUCCAAAUUUUAACAGCAUCAGCAAUAAAAUAGCGAUUUCUAUGCACUUUAAAUUCAGAUUUU
Molecule: long non-coding RNA, 413 nt
Organism: Gavialis gangeticus (Gharial)
Lineage: Eukaryota; Metazoa; Chordata; Crocodylia; Gavialidae
Exons: 3
Source: RefSeq, a predicted model, not a curated record